RNAcentral lists this ribosomal RNA (404 nucleotides) under uncultured bacterium. RNAcentral's name for it is "bacterial SSU rRNA". It matches the Rfam family "Bacterial small subunit ribosomal RNA", at positions 355 to 775 of the family's 1533-position model. The record is from RNAcentral.
CAAGGAAUUUUGCGCAAUGGGCGAAAGCCUGACGCAGCAGCGCCGCGUGAGGGAUGAAGGCCUUCGGGUUGUAAACCUCUUUUCUCAGGGACGAAUAAUGACGGUACCUGAGGAAUAAGCUUCGGCUAACUACGUGCCAGCAGCCGCGGUAAUACGUAGGAAGCAAGCGUUAUCCGGAUUUACUGGGCGUAAAGUGGACGUAGGCGGCCUUUCAAGUCGGAUGUGAAAUCUCUUGGCUUAACCAGGAGGGGUCAUCCGAUACUGUUGGGCUUGAGGGCAGCAGGGGAAGGUGGAAUUCCCGGUGUAGUGGUGAAAUGCGUAGAUAUCGGGAGGAACACCAGUGGCGAAGGCGGCCUUCCAGGCUGUUUCUGACGCUGAGGUCCGAAAGUGUGGGGAACGAACAG